RNAcentral lists this ribosomal RNA (779 nucleotides) under Occidozyga cf. laevis KU 302304. RNAcentral describes it as "partial large subunit ribosomal RNA". It matches the Rfam family "Bacterial large subunit ribosomal RNA", at positions 1532 to 2538 of the family's 2925-position model. Lineage: Eukaryota; Metazoa; Chordata; Amphibia; Anura; Dicroglossidae. The record is from RNAcentral.
UUCACCUAACAUCACCAACCCAUCACCAGUAUUGAAUAAAUUCAUAAUCUAUGAAAAUUAUUAUGCUAGAACUAGUAACAAGAAAAUGAAUUUCUCCAAAGUGUAAGCAUAAACCAAAAUGAACACCACACUGAUAAUUAACGACUAUGAACCCAUUUAAGGAACAUAACUAGAAAAAAUCCUAUAUUUAACCCCGUUAACCUUACACAAGAACUCUCCUGGAAAGAUUAAAAGGAAGAGAAGGAACUCGGCAAAUCUUAACCCCGCCUGUUUACCAAAAACAUCGCCUCUUGAUUAGAUAUAAGAGGUCCAGCCUGCCCAGUGUUUUAGUUUUAAUCAACGGCCGCGUGAUUUAAACGCGCGAAGGUAGCAUAAUAAUUUGUUCUUUAAAUGAGGACUUGUAUCAAUGGCAUCACGAGGGUUAUACUGUCUCCUCUCCCCAAUCAGUGAAACUAAUCUCCUUGUGAAAAAGCAAGGAUAAGAUCAUAAGACGAGAAGACCCCAUGGAGCUUAAAACACGGCAACAACCCUAAUAUCAUAACCAAUUUAAUUUUAAGCCCUGUAUGCUAGUUUUAGGUUGGGGUGACCACGGAGUAAAACAAAGCCUCCACAACGAAAAGGGGUUAUACCCUUAUCUAAGAGAUACUCCUCUAAGAAUUAUUAAAAUAACGUCCAAUGAUCCGACUAUCGACCAAUGAACCAAGUUACCCUGGGGAUAACAGCGCAAUCCACCCUGAGAGCCCUAUCGACGAGUGGGCUACGAACCUCGAUGUUGGAUC